GUACUGCUGACGAGUCCCAAACAGAGCGAAACAGCUGUUCAGUGC
This is a non-coding RNA of Echinostoma caproni, 45 nucleotides long. NCBI's taxonomy places the organism in Eukaryota, Metazoa, Platyhelminthes, Trematoda, Plagiorchiida, Echinostomatidae. The record is from Rfam.